Molecule: ribosomal RNA, 253 nt
Filed under: uncultured bacterium
Lineage: Bacteria
Description: partial 16S ribosomal RNA
Rfam family: Bacterial small subunit ribosomal RNA
Source: RNAcentral
UACGUAGGGUCCGAGCGUUGUCCGGAAUUACUGGGCGUAAAGAGCUCGUAGGUGGUUUGUCGCGUCUGCUGUGAAAACUCGGGGCUUAACUCCGGGCCUGCAGUGGGUACGGGCAGACUAGAGUGCGGUAGGGGAGACUGGAAUUCCUGGUGUAGCGGUGAAAUGCGCAGAUAUCAGGAGGAACACCGGUGGCGAAGGCGGGUCUCUGGGCCGUAACUGACGCUGAGGAGCGAAAGCGUGGGGAGCGAACAGG